AGUGAACGCUGGCGGUAGGCCUAACACAUGCAAGUCGAACGGCAGCACAGUAAGAGCUUGCUCUUACGGGUGGCGAGUGGCGGACGGGUGAGGAAUACAUCGGAAUCUACUUUUUCGUGGGGGAUAACGUAGGGAAACUUACGCCAAUACCGCAUACGACCUACGGGUGAAAGCAGGGGAUCUUCGGACCUUGCGCGAUUGAAUGAACCGAUGUCGGAUUAGCUAGUUGGCGGGGUAAAGGCCCACCAAGGCGACGAUCCGUAGCUGGUCUGAGAGGAUGAUCAGCCACACUGGAACUGAGACACGGUCCAGACUCCUACGGGAGGCAGCAGUGGGGAAUAUUGGACAAUGGGCGCAAGCCUGAUCCAGCCAUACCGCGUGGGUGAAGAAGGCCUUCGGGUUGUAAAGCCCUUUUGUUGGGAAAGAAAAGCAGCAGGUUAAUACCCCGCUGUUCUGACGGUACCCAAAGAAUAAGCACCGGCUAACUUCGUG
This 492-nucleotide ribosomal RNA is filed under the name uncultured bacterium. RNAcentral describes it as "partial 16S ribosomal RNA". It matches the Rfam family "Bacterial small subunit ribosomal RNA", at positions 29 to 507 of the family's 1533-position model. The record is from RNAcentral.